This 652-nucleotide ribosomal RNA is filed under the name Clostridioides difficile. RNAcentral describes it as "bacterial SSU rRNA". It matches the Rfam family "Bacterial small subunit ribosomal RNA", at positions 889 to 1533 of the family's 1533-position model. The record is from RNAcentral. Lineage: Bacteria; Bacillati; Bacillota; Clostridia; Peptostreptococcales; Peptostreptococcaceae.
CAAGAGUGAAACUCAAAGGAAUUGACGGGGACCCGCACAAGUAGCGGAGCAUGUGGUUUAAUUCGAAGCAACGCGAAGAACCUUACCUAAGCUUGACAUCCCAAUGACAUCUCCUUAAUCGGAGAGUUCCCUUCGGGGACGUUGGUGACAGGUGGUGCAUGGUUGUCGUCAGCUCGUGUCGUGAGAUGUUGGGUUAAGUCCCGCAACGAGCGCAACCCUUGUCUUUAGUUGCCAUCAUUAAGUUGGGCACUCUAGAGAGACUGCCAGGGAUAACCUGGAGGAAGGUGGGGAUGACGUCAAAUCAUCAUGCCCCUUAUGCUUAGGGCUACACACGUGCUACAAUGGGUAGUACAGAGGGUUGCCAAGCCGUAAGGGGGAGCUAAUCCCUUAAAGCUACUCUCAGUUCGGAUUGUAGGCUGAAACUCGCCUACAUGAAGCUGGAGUUACUAGUAAUCGCAGAUCAGAAUGCUGCGGUGAAUGCGUUCCCGGGUCUUGUACACACCGCCCGUCACACCACGGGAGUUGGAGACGCCCGAAGCCGACUAUCUAACCUUUUGGAAGAAGUCGUCGAAGGUGGAAUCAAUAACUGGGGUGAAGUCGUAACAAGGUAGCCGUAUCGGAAGGUGCGGCUGGAUCACCUCCUUUCUAAGGA